Molecule: ribosomal RNA, 338 nt
Filed under: Outenikwanus tomentosus
Lineage: Eukaryota; Metazoa; Arthropoda; Insecta; Coleoptera; Scarabaeidae
Description: partial 16S ribosomal RNA
Source: RNAcentral
AAAGUCUAACCUGCCCAAUGAAUUUUAUUUUAAAUGGCUGCGGUAUACUGACCGUACGAAGGUAGCAUAAUAAUUAGUUUUUUAAUUGAAAGCUGGUAUGAAUGGUUGAACGAAAAAAAAGCUGUCUCAAUUUAAUUUAAAUUAGAAUUUUAUUUUUAAGUUAAAAAGCUUAAAUAAUUUUAAAAGACGAGAAGACCCUAUAGAGUUUUAUAUUAAAUUUUAUUUUAAAUUUUUAGUAAUUUUUUAUUUAUUAUAAUAUUUAAUAUUUGGUUGGGGUGAUUAAAAAAUUUAAUAAACUUUUUUUAUAUUAAAUCAUUAAUGAAUGUGUAUAUGAUCCA